RNAcentral lists this ribosomal RNA (266 nucleotides) under uncultured Streptococcus sp. RNAcentral's name for it is "partial 16S ribosomal RNA". It matches the Rfam family "Bacterial small subunit ribosomal RNA", at positions 1119 to 1382 of the family's 1533-position model. The record is from RNAcentral. Lineage: Bacteria; Bacillati; Bacillota; Bacilli; Lactobacillales; Streptococcaceae.
CCAUCAUUCAGUUGGGCGACUCUAGCGAGACUGCCGGUAAUAAACCGGAGGAAGGUGGGGGAUGACGUCAAAUCAUCAUGCCCCUUAUGACCUGGGCUACACACGUGCUACAAUGGUUGGGUACAACGAGUUGCGAGUCGGUGACGGCGAGCUAAUCUCUUAAAGCCAAUCUCAGUUCGGAUUGUAGGCUGCAACUCGCCUACAUGAAGUCGGAAUCGCUAGUAAUCGCGGAUCAGCACGCCGCGGUGAAUACGUUCCCGGGCCUU